UGUUCUUCUCUAAAAUUGUUUUGAUGCAUUAUAUAUGAACCUAUGAACCUUGAAGGGGAUUUGCAUGACUAUAGCUUUGAUAAUUUGUUAUAAAUGCUUCCGCUGCUUUCGUAUAUUAAAUUUGAUUUGUAUAUGCAUGUUAGUCAUUUUGAAAUCCCUAUAUGUGAAAACUCAUAAUUUUCCCUUCACUUUGUUCUGUGAACAUGAGUUGCUAAACCCGUUUUUGCUAGAGGGAAUUCAAAGCCAUUAAUAUAUUUGCAAUAUGAAUUGAUUACUUUCAAUUGUGAUUUCAUAAACCUUGA
RNAcentral lists this long non-coding RNA (302 nucleotides) under Malus domestica (apple). Its description in RNAcentral is "long non-coding RNA (MDOM_LNC012796)". Lineage: Eukaryota; Viridiplantae; Streptophyta; Magnoliopsida; Rosales; Rosaceae. The record is from RNAcentral.